AUGGACGAGAUGUAUCUCCAAUCGCUGGUGCUGGCGGCGGUGGCGGUUGCGCUGCUGCAGGUGCUGAGGGUGGCCCUGAACCCGGCGAGGGAGAGGGCGCCGCCAGGGCCAUGGAAGCUGCCGGUGAUCGGCAGCAUGCACCACCUCAUGAACGUGCUGCCGCACCGCGCGCUGAGGGACCUGGCCCGCGCGCAUGGCCCGCUCAUGAUGCUGCAGCUUGGGCAGACGCCACUGCUGGUGGCCUCGUCUAGGGAGACGGCGCGGCUGGUGCUCAGGACCCACGACGCUAACUUCGCCACGCGGCCAAAGAUCCUCGCCGCCGAGAUCGUCACGUACCAGUCGUCCGACACCCUCUUCUCCCCCACCGGCGACUACUGGCGCAAACUCCGCCAGCUCUGCGCCGCCGAGAUCCUAGGCCCCAAGCGCGUGCUCUCCUUCCGCCACAUUAGGGAGGACGAGAUGAGGAUGCGGGUGGAUGAGAUCCGCAGGACAGGGUCGUCGAAACCCAUGAACAUGAGCGUCCUGUUCCACGGCCUGACCAACAACAUCAUUGCGCGGGCGGCAUUCGGGAAGACGCCGAAGAAGUCGCCAGAGUUCCUGGAUGCCGUCACAUCCGGGUUGCGCCUGGCGAGCGGCUUCGACAUCCCCGACCUCUUCCCGGAGUGGACGACAGUGCUCGCCGCACUCACCGGCAUGAAGCGCAGCCUCCAGGGCGUCCACAAGACGGUGGACGCAUUCCUGGAGGAGAUGAUCAACGAGAGGAAUGCCACCCGCGCUGACAAGAUCAAGGUCGGCGGCGUCGAGAACAUGGACGAGAACUUCAUUGACGUGCUCAUCGGCCUGCAGGAAAGAGGCGGCCUUGGGUUCGACCUCGACAACAGCAGGAUCAAGGCCGUCAUCGUGGACAUGUUCGCGGCAGGCACGGGGACGGCAGCGUCGUCGAUGUAG
This 948-nucleotide ribosomal RNA is filed under the name Triticum aestivum (bread wheat). Its description in RNAcentral is "partial small subunit ribosomal RNA". The record is from RNAcentral. Lineage: Eukaryota; Viridiplantae; Streptophyta; Magnoliopsida; Poales; Poaceae.